CUAGCGACUUCAGAGUUUGAUCCUGGCUCAGGAUGAACGCUAGCGGCAGGCUUAACACAUGCAAGUCGAGGGGCAGCAUGAAGGUUAGCAAUAACCUUUGAUGGCGACCGGCGCAAGGGUGCGUAACGCGUGAGCAACUUGCCCGUUUCAGGGGGAUAACCGGUGGAAACGCCGACUAAUACCCCAUAGCAUCACUUUAAGGCAUCUUUUAGUGAUUAAAGAAAUUCGGAAACGGAUAGGCUCGCGUGACAUUAGCUAGAUGGCGGGGUAACGGCCCACCAUGGCGACGAUGUCUAGGGGUUCUGAGAGGAAGGUCCCCCACACUGGAACUGAGACACGGUCCAG
This 345-nucleotide ribosomal RNA is filed under the name uncultured bacterium. RNAcentral describes it as "bacterial SSU rRNA". It matches the Rfam family "Bacterial small subunit ribosomal RNA", at positions 1 to 334 of the family's 1533-position model. The record is from RNAcentral.